RNAcentral lists this ribosomal RNA (225 nucleotides) under uncultured Desulfosporosinus sp. RNAcentral describes it as "partial 16S ribosomal RNA". It matches the Rfam family "Bacterial small subunit ribosomal RNA", at positions 568 to 792 of the family's 1533-position model. The record is from RNAcentral. Lineage: Bacteria; Bacillati; Bacillota; Clostridia; Eubacteriales; Desulfitobacteriaceae.
CGCGUAGGCGGAUGGUUAAGUCCGGUGUGAAAGAUCAGGGCUCAACCCUGAGAGUGCAUCGGAAACUGGGCAUCUUGAGGACAGGAGAGGAAAGUGGAAUUUCCUGUGUAGCGGUGAAAUGCGUAGAUAUAGGAAGGAACACCAGUGGCGAAGGCGACCACCUGGACUGUUACUGACGCUGAGGCGCGAAAGCGUGGGGAGCAAACAGGAUUAGAUACCCGUGUA